Molecule: ribosomal RNA, 468 nt
Filed under: uncultured bacterium
Lineage: Bacteria
Description: partial 16S ribosomal RNA
Rfam family: Bacterial small subunit ribosomal RNA
Source: RNAcentral
GACGAACGCUGGCGGCGUGCCUAAUACAUGCAAGUCGAACGGAAAGGCCCUGCUUUUGCGGGGUGCUCGUGUGGCGAACGGGUGAGUAACACGCGUGUAACCCGUCCUUGUCUUUGGGAUAACACUACGAAACUGGGGCUAAUACCGGAUAUGAGCUUCUGCUGCAUGUUGGGGGAUGGUAAGUUACGGUGGUUGGGGCUGUACUCGCGGCUUACCCGCUUGUUGGUGGGGUUGUGGCUUACCAAGGUUUCGAAGGGUAGCAGGCCUGAGAGGGUGACCGGCCGCAUUGAGACUGAGGUACGGCCCAGACUGAUACGGGAGGCAACAGUGGGAAAGAUUGCAGAAUGAACGGAAGGAGAAUGAAGAAACUCCGCGUACGGGAUAACGGCCUUCGGAUGGAAAACCACAUUCGCAUGUGACGAAGCAUGAGUGACGGUAAUGGAUAAAGAAGCACAGGGUAACUAAGUG